GUAAUUUGUAAAAUUUUUGAAUAUUUUAAAUAUAUUUGUGCACAAGAACAUGCAAUAUCUAAUUUACCAUUAGCCGCAGCUUAAGCCGGAAUAUUUAGAAGAUUAAUAAAUAAGCCUACAACUGAACCAAACCAUAUUUAAAACAUUUAAUUAAAAAGGCUUAGAUAUUGCAUAGAACCGUGAACCGAACCCUGAGAAUCACUUUGGUUUGAACCGCAAGCUAAAAUUGUAUAUUUGGCCCUGCAGACUUGCCUUUAAGUACCCGGAUUUGAAAGUUCUUAGAGCAUUCGCUCUUCGUGGUUGGCUUUGUGCUUUAAUUCUGAUUACUUUGUUAUUGCUCGCUGACACUUUAAGCUCCGGUGCCGUCGCCGUCGACGUCGACGUUGCCUGCUACUCAUGGAUUUGGUUUAUUUGUUGUUUUGUGCGAUUUUUUAUUAAUUUUGUCUUUUCUAGGUCAAUUCCGCAGACGGAAGCAGUUUGACCAGAAUAAACUUUUUCCACUCUUGGCUUUUUCUAUGCACACGGCUCUAGCAGCAACUGGCAGUCCCAAUGGAGGCACACACACACACACAGUCACACACAAGCCAACACACACACUCAGACACAUGGAAGGCAUUUUUCUAGGCGCUAUUGUUAGCGUCUUUUCUUAGCACAUUAUUUAUUAUGUUUUUUUUUUCGCGCACUUUCUUUGUCAAACUAUUUUUCGGUGGCACAAAAAAAAACAAACAAAAACACGGCAUGAAAAUAAAGAAAACCAAGCAUAAAAGAGCCCAAAAGCCUGGCAAAGAAAUGAAUUAUAUGUGCCUGAACAAUAAUUAACUUUAUAUGUGUGUCUUCUAUUGAAAAGAAUUGUUAAAAAAAGAUAAAUAAAAGCCCGAUAUCUAUUCAAGA
Drosophila virilis is the source of this 891-nucleotide long non-coding RNA. RefSeq lists it as uncharacterized. The record is from RefSeq and is a predicted model, not a curated record. NCBI's taxonomy places the organism in Eukaryota, Metazoa, Arthropoda, Insecta, Diptera, Drosophilidae.